Molecule: ribosomal RNA, 268 nt
Filed under: uncultured bacterium
Lineage: Bacteria
Description: partial 16S ribosomal RNA
Rfam family: Bacterial small subunit ribosomal RNA
Source: RNAcentral
UACGGAGGGGUUAGCGUUGUUCGGAAUUACUGGGCGUAAAGCGCGCGUAGGCGGAUUGGAAAGUUGGGGUGAAAUCCAGGCUCAACCCUGAACUGCCUCCAAAACUCCAGUCUUGAGUUCGAGAGAGGUGAGUGGAAUUCCGAGUGUAGAGGUGAAAUUCGUAGAUAUUCGGAGGAACACCAGUGGCGAAGGCGGCUCACUGGCUCGAUACUGACGCUGAGGUGCGAAAGUGUGGGGAGCAAACAGGAUUAGAUACCCCCAGUAGUCC